RNAcentral lists this transfer RNA (88 nucleotides) under Stygiolobus caldivivus. RNAcentral describes it as "Stygiolobus sp. KN-1 tRNA-Thr". It matches the Rfam family "tRNA". Rfam says of the family: Transfer RNA (tRNA) molecules are approximately 80 nucleotides in length. The record is from RNAcentral. Lineage: Archaea; Thermoproteati; Thermoproteota; Thermoprotei; Sulfolobales; Sulfolobaceae.
GCCGCCGUAGCUCAGACUGGUAGAGCGCCGGCCUUGUAAGGGCUAUCAGGAUAGCCGGUGGUCCGGGGUUCAAGUCCCCGCGGCGGCU